This 490-nucleotide ribosomal RNA is filed under the name uncultured bacterium. Its description in RNAcentral is "partial 16S ribosomal RNA". It matches the Rfam family "Bacterial small subunit ribosomal RNA", at positions 30 to 507 of the family's 1533-position model. The record is from RNAcentral.
AUUGAACGCUGGCGGCAGGCCUAACACAUGCAAGUCGAACGGUAACAGGAAACAGCUUGCUGUUUCGCUGACGAGUGGCGGACGGGUGAGUAAUGUCUGGGAAACUGCCUGAUGGAGGGGGAUAACUACUGGAAACGGUAGCUAAUACCGCAUAACGUCGCAAGACCAAAGAGGGGGACCUUCGGGCCUCUUGCCAUCGGAUGUGCCCAGAUGGGAUUAGCUAGUAGGUGGGGUAACGGCUCACCUAGGCGACGAUCCCUAGCUGGUCUGAGAGGAUGACCAGCCACACUGGAACUGAGACACGGUCCAGACUCCUACGGGAGGCAGCAGUGGGGAAUAUUGCACAAUGGGCGCAAGCCUGAUGCAGCCAUGCCGCGUGUAUGAAGAAGGCCUUCGGGUUGUAAAGUACUUUCAGCGGGGAGGAAGGGAGUAAAGUUAAUACCUUUUCUCAUUGACGUUACCCGCAGAAGAAGCACCGGCUAACUCCGUG